This 687-nucleotide long non-coding RNA is filed under the name Sinocyclocheilus anshuiensis. Its description in RNAcentral is "lncRNA (ENSSANG00000036114.1)". Lineage: Eukaryota; Metazoa; Chordata; Actinopteri; Cypriniformes; Cyprinidae. The record is from RNAcentral.
CUCCUUGUCCUGUCUCUAUUCUGAUAGGUUGCACACUUCAUUUCCUGCACCAUUCUCAGAUUGCAUUCCAGCGUUUACCAUGGUGACCGUGAUAAGAGGGGCGAGGAAUGAGUGGGAGCCGUGUGCGCAGACAUGGUGUCAUUAGGACAAGCCUGACACCUGUGUGUAAUCAGAGACAGGUGGACCCUUCUUGCCAUUUCUAUAAGGGGUUAUACUGAUUGCCAGAAUCAUCACUCAGCACAAGUGAUUACUAUUUUUGUAACAUCUGCACCAUCAACAACCUGUCUGCCAAUGAGAACUGUGUGCGUCAGCUGGAUCACAGGUUAACACACCUGAGCCCAAGUGUGUGUUGAGUGGCAGGUCCAAUGUUUUCACAAUCAUAGCAUCUGCUUCACUUACAGCAUCUAGCAUCGCUCUCUAUGUUUGACCGCAUGUUUAUUUCUUUUCAUCCCCUCACACUGACUCAUGAAAUAAUUGCUGCUCUUAUGCAUGUAACUAUAACAAUUGUGCUCUGAGUGUCAUAGACUGUUUUUACAACCAUAACAUCUGGUUUGAGGGUUUAUGCUGUUGUUUGUGCACAGAUGGGUCAUUUAAGUCAAAUAAAACAAAAACAAUGCAUAAAAAACACAACUAUAAACCUUAAAUUGUUUGUUUGGUUCAGUUUGAUCAUUCCUUGUUUAAUCAGGC